RNAcentral lists this ribosomal RNA (253 nucleotides) under uncultured bacterium. RNAcentral describes it as "partial 16S ribosomal RNA". It matches the Rfam family "Bacterial small subunit ribosomal RNA", at positions 524 to 776 of the family's 1533-position model. The record is from RNAcentral.
UACGUAGGGGGCAAGCGUUGUCCGGAUUUAUUGGGCGUAAAGAGCGUGUAGGCGGCCAGGUAGGUCUGCUGUGAAAACUCCGAGGCUUAACCUCGAGAUGUCGGCGGAAACCAUCUGGCUAGAGUCCGGAAGAGGAGAGUGGAAUUCCUGGUGUAGCGGUGAAAUGCGCAGAUAUCAGGAAGGAACACCCGCGGCGAAGGCGGCGCUCGCCGGCGAACUUGACGCUGAGACCGAAAGCGUGGGAGCAAACAGG